This 473-nucleotide ribosomal RNA is filed under the name uncultured bacterium. RNAcentral's name for it is "bacterial SSU rRNA". It matches the Rfam family "Bacterial small subunit ribosomal RNA", at positions 355 to 825 of the family's 1533-position model. The record is from RNAcentral.
UGGGGAAUUUUGGACAAUGGGGGAAACCCUGAUCCAGCGACGCCGCGUGUGUGAAGAAGGCCUGCGGGUUGUAAAGCACUUUCGGAGGGAACGAAUGCUCCUGAAGUUAACAGCCUCAGGAGGUGACGGUACCCUCAAAGGAAGCACCGGCUAACUCUGUGCCAGCAGCCGCGGUAAUACGUAGGGUGCGAGCGUUAAUCGGAAUUACUGGGCGUAAAGCGUGCGUAGGCGGCUUCGCAAGUCAGGUGUGAAAGCCCUGGGCUCAACCUAGGAAUUGCGCUUGAAACUACGGAGCUAGAGUUUGGCAGAGGGGGGUGGAAUUCCACGUGUAGCAGUGAAAUGCGUAGAUAUGUGGAGGAACACCGAUGGCGAAGGCAGCCCCCUGGGCCAAAACUGACGCUCAGGCACGAAAGCGUGGGGAGCAAACAGGAUUAGAUACCCCUGUAGUCCCUGAGCGGGCUGGCAAGGCGCAU